This 460-nucleotide ribosomal RNA is filed under the name uncultured Bacteroidota bacterium. RNAcentral's name for it is "bacterial SSU rRNA". It matches the Rfam family "Bacterial small subunit ribosomal RNA", at positions 338 to 795 of the family's 1533-position model. Lineage: Bacteria; Pseudomonadati; Bacteroidota. The record is from RNAcentral.
CCUACGGGGGGCUGCAGUGAGGAAUAUUGGUCAAUGGACGCAAGUCUGAACCAGCCAUGCCGCGUGAAGGAAGACUGCCCUAUGGGUUGUAAACUUCUUUUAUACGGGGAUAAACCUAUCUUUGCGAAGAUAGCUGAAGGUACCGUAUGAAUAAGCAUCGGCUAACUCCGUGCCAGCAGCCGCGGUAAUACGGAGGAUGCGAGCGUUAUCCGGAUUUAUUGGGUUUAAAGGGUGCGUAGGCGGACAAAUAAGUCAGUGGUGAAAUCACUCAGCUUAACUGAGUAACUGCCAUUGAUACUGUUAGUCUAGAAUGUAAAUGGAGUAGGCGGAAUGAAUCAUGUAGAGGUGACAUUCAUAGAUAUGAUUCAGAACACCGAUCGCGAAGGCAGCUUGCUAAGAUACAAUUGACGCUGAGGCACGAAAGCGUGGGUAGCAAACAGGAUUAGAUACCCCGGUAGUC